UUUUUUUUUUAAUUUUUGUUUGUUUUUUGUAGAAAUGGAAUAUUUGGAACUUUGGACUAGAAAAGUAGUUGAAUGAUGCAAGCAGAGCAUAAAAGUCUUUUCUAGGAGGAGACUGGAAGGCAGUAAAUUCUGAUAACAAAUCAAAUUAUAGAGAAAAAAAAACAGACUUAAACAACUGGGCUCCUGGUCAUUCUUGUGAUAUUUUGCCAAAGUAUUUGAGGUUUCCUCCUUUUAUCCUAAGAAUAUUCCAACUGCUAAGUAAAAAAAGAACUGAACUGAUUUCUUCGGCAAAAAGAAAGUUUCAAGAAAACAUACUUCUGAUUCUGUGGCAUGGUUGUGACUUAUGAUGCUUAUGUAUAUUUAGAAUAAAAACGAGUGAGUGGUGAAGAAAGACAUAAAAAUUUACAGUUUAAAGAGAAAUAAACAGUGAGAAGCUUAAUGUUGUAGCCCAGAAAAUGUUAGGAAAGUGGUUUUAAUUGUUAAGGAGAUUAACACCAGUAAGAAGAGGGUUUUGUUUUGUACUGGAACAAUGGGAAAAGGAAAGAAAAGACCACACUAAACUAAGCUUCCAACUUUUGAAAGAGAUCAGAAGAUUUGUGUUCCUAGAAAGGAACUGAAUAAAAGAAAGAAAGAAAGAAAGAAAGAAAGAAAGAAAGAAAGAAAGAAAGAAAGAAAGAAAGAAAAAAAAAGCAUGUCAUUGGCACUCAAUGGGGUCACAUUGUAUUCAAAAGCUUCUAUACUUAAAUCCAUGAGUACAGGAAUCAAGGGGUCAUGGGUUCUUCCUCCAUCAUUACAGUAGCAUUAAAACCAAGCAUUUUUAAUCCCUCAAGCAAGAAAAACACCAGUAACCCAAAGUUUGAGCCAAAUUUGAAGUGAGUUUUAUUAAAUACUAGCCAGGAAAAUCUUCAAUGGCCAGGUUCAAAGCUGGGGUUCC
RNAcentral lists this long non-coding RNA (934 nucleotides) under Mus musculus (house mouse). Its description in RNAcentral is "long non-coding RNA chrX:123789035-123789969". Lineage: Eukaryota; Metazoa; Chordata; Mammalia; Rodentia; Muridae. The record is from RNAcentral.